GGAUAGCCUUUCGAAAGAAAGAUUAAUACCCGAUAGUAUAAAGAGUUCGCAUGUUCUCUUUAUUAAAGGAUUCCGGUAAUCGAUGGGGAUGCGUUCCAUUAGAUAGUUGGGGAGGUAACGGCUCACCAAGUCUUCAAUGGAUAGGGGUUCUGAAAGGAAGGUCCCCCACAUUGGAACUGAGACACGGUCCAAACUCCUACGGGAGGCAGCAGUGAGGAAUAUUGGUCAAUGGGCGUUAGCCUGAACCAGCCAAGUAGCGUGAAGGAUGACUGCCCUAUGGGUUGUAAACUUCUUUUAUAAGGGAAUAAAAUGGGGAACGUGUUCCCCUUUGCAUGUACCUUACGAAUAAGGAUCGGCUAACUCCGUGCCAGCAGCCGCGGUAAUACGGAGGAUCCAAGCGUUAUCCGGAUUUAUUGGGUUUAAAGGGUGCGUAGGCGGAAUGAUCAGUCAGUUGUGAAAGUUUAAGGCUCAACCUUAAAAUUGCAGUUGAUACUGUCAUUCUUGAGUGUACAAGAGGUGGGGCGGAAUUCGUGGUGUAGCGGUGAAAUGCUUAUAUAUCACGAAGAACUCCAAUUGCGAAGGCAGCUCACUGGGGUACAACUGACGCUGAGCACGAAAGUGUGGGUAUCAAACAGGAUUAUAUACCCU
RNAcentral lists this ribosomal RNA (648 nucleotides) under Bacteroides graminisolvens. RNAcentral's name for it is "bacterial SSU rRNA". It matches the Rfam family "Bacterial small subunit ribosomal RNA", at positions 141 to 788 of the family's 1533-position model. Lineage: Bacteria; Pseudomonadati; Bacteroidota; Bacteroidia; Bacteroidales; Bacteroidaceae. The record is from RNAcentral.